RNAcentral lists this ribosomal RNA (465 nucleotides) under Phyllocoptes fructiphilus. RNAcentral's name for it is "partial large subunit ribosomal RNA". Lineage: Eukaryota; Metazoa; Arthropoda; Arachnida; Trombidiformes; Eriophyidae. The record is from RNAcentral.
AACCGUUAAUUGGCAAACGAAUCGGAGCCACGAAGUCGUUUCGCUGGUCAAUCCAAGUUCAGUUUGGGAUAGCAAUAUCUCGGGCGUAUUCUUGUUGGUUGGCCAUUGUAAGCGUACACUGCAACCAGUUAGACAAUUGGCGAUGGGCCAAGUUGGGUAGAAGCCUCGGUGACUACUUAACGAAGUGCUUGUUUGCUCUAACUAGUAGUGAUAUUGUGUUUCUUCGGGAACAUGGUGUUGCUGGGUUAGAGUAAGUGAACUAUCACCAAAUACUGACUGGCACAAUGAAACUUGCUCUUAUGAGCGUGAUACACAAUGCGGCUACUCGUGUCUAAUGUCUACACAGUCAACCGUAGGGUUUAAGUUCGGCAUUUUUGAAUUUGGGCUUGCUUUCUACCAGUGGGGCAACUCCUGGUGUUGGUAUUGUCACCAUCUAAUCGGGUGACGACUUGAUUUUGCGUUGUU